CGUAACCAUGCAAGUCGAACGAUGAAGCGCUUCGGUGGUGGAUUAGUGGCGAACGGGUGAGUAACACGUGGGUAAUCUGCCCUGCACUCUGGGAUAAGCCUUGGAAACGGGGUCUAAUACCGGAUACGACACGUCACCGCAUGGUGUGCGUGUGGAAAGUUCCGGCGGUGCAGGAUGAACCCGCGGCCUAUCAGCUUGUUGGUGGGGUAAUGGCCUACCAAGGCGACGACGGGUAGCCGGCCUGAGAGGGUGACCGGCCACACUGGGACUGAGACACGGCCCAGACUCCUACGGGAGGCAGCAGUGGGGAAUCUUGCGCAAUGGGCGAAAGCCUGACGCAGCAACGCCGCGUGGGGGAUGACGGCCUUCGGGUUGUAAACCUCUUUCGACAGGGACGAAGCUUUCGGGUGACGGUACCUGUAGAAGAAGCACCGGCUAACUACGUGCCAGCAGCCGCGGUAAUACGUAGGGUGCGAGCGUUGUCCGGAUUUAUUGGGCGUAAAGAGCUCGUAGGCGGUUUG
RNAcentral lists this ribosomal RNA (521 nucleotides) under Saccharopolyspora tripterygii. Its description in RNAcentral is "bacterial SSU rRNA". It matches the Rfam family "Bacterial small subunit ribosomal RNA", at positions 47 to 582 of the family's 1533-position model. Lineage: Bacteria; Bacillati; Actinomycetota; Actinomycetes; Pseudonocardiales; Pseudonocardiaceae. The record is from RNAcentral.